Molecule: ribosomal RNA, 874 nt
Filed under: uncultured bacterium
Lineage: Bacteria
Description: bacterial SSU rRNA
Rfam family: Bacterial small subunit ribosomal RNA
Source: RNAcentral
UUAGAGUUUGAUCAUGGCUCAGAAUCAACGCUGGCGGCGUGCCUCAGACAUGCAAGUCGAACGCGAAAGUUCCCUUCGGGGAGCAAGUAGAGUGGCGCACGGGUGAGUAACACGUAGGUAAUCUACCUUUGGAUGGGGAAUAACAACCGGAAACGGUUGCUAAUACCGCAUAAUGCAGCGGCACCUAAUGGUGACAGUUGUUAAAGCGGGGGAUCGUAAGACCUCGCGUCUAAAGAGGAGCCUGCGGCGGAUUAGCUUGUUGGUAAGGUAACGGCUUACCAAGGCGAUGAUCCGUAGCCGGCCUGAGAGGGCGGUCGGCCACACUGACACUGACAUACGGGUCAGACUCCUACGGGAGGCAGCAGUCGGGAAUUUUGGGCAAUGGGCGAAAGCCUGACCCAGCAACGCCGCGUGAAGGAUGAAAUCCCUCGGGAUGUAAACUUCGCAAGAACAGGAAGAAUAAGUAAGAGUUAAUAUCUCUUACGAUGACGGUACUGUUUGUAAGCUCCGGCUAACUCCGUGCCAGCAGCCGCGGUAAUACGGGGGGAGCAAGCGCUGUUCGGAUUUACUGGGCGUAAAGGGCGCGUAGGCGGCCACCGCAAGUCAGUUGUGAAAGCUCUGGGCUUAACCCAGAAAGGUCAACUGAUACUGCGGGGCUAGAGUGCAGAAGGGGCAACUGGAAUUCUCGGUGUAGCGGUGAAAUGCGUAGAUAUCGAGAGGAACACCUGCGGCGAAGGCGGGUUGCUGGGCUGACACUGACGCUGAGGCGCGAAAGCUUGGGGAGCGAACGGGAUUAGAUACCCCGGUAGUCCUAGCCUUAAACGAUGAAUGCUUGGUGUCUGGGGUUUUAUAGUCCCCGGGUGCCGUCGCUAAC